This 8737-nucleotide long non-coding RNA is filed under the name Capsicum annuum. Its description in RNAcentral is "long non-coding RNA (CANN_LNC004369)". Lineage: Eukaryota; Viridiplantae; Streptophyta; Magnoliopsida; Solanales; Solanaceae. The record is from RNAcentral.
UGUAAUGUUAGGCUGUGUGGGGCCAACCGCCUAUGUGCUAGAAUUAUGAGGUCUCUAUUGGUAAAUUAUUAAUUGUUUCUUGUUCCAAAUCACUAUAUAAGAGGUGUGACCCUUUUUGAUGCUAAACUAGCUACUAGAGGAAAUUUAUGCCUAAUAUUGAGUUAAGGCUUAGUGUUAUAUAUAAAUUUGCAUAAAAAUUCAAGGGCUAACCUAAUAUAUAUACUCGACUUGAAUAAGAGGUUAUAUUAUGAAAUAUUGCCUAGUAAGGUGGCUUAUGUUAUAAUUAGCUACUUCUAAAAUAUAUGAUUAUUAUUAGGAACCUAGAAGCCUAGUAAACUAGUUGGUGGAGGACUCUACUUGAUUAAAAUAUGGAAAUUAGUCCUUAAGGUUGUGACAUGCUUGGUGAUGAUAGAUCUAGUAUUGCAUGAUGGAUGAUAGUUAAAUUAUCUCCUAAUAUGUGAAGUUGAGAUGCCUUAAUUGAUAACUCAUGUCAUGAUGAUGCUAAUUAAAGAAUGGCCUUAUGAUAGUUGAAUAACCUAUACUAUGGGUGGCUUGUAGUUUUUCCCCCCAGUUUGAUGACUAGUGAUUUUAAGACUUGUAAUCUUUUGACUUUUUUAAAAAAUAAGGUUAAUUAGUAUGGACCUUGCGGUAUUUAUCAAUGAAUUAUAGAACUAAUGAUUACAUGCUAUGCUAUGACAAUGUUGCUUUAUUUAUGUUGAAUUAUGGUAUGGGUACUUGAAAGUGGAUUUCAGUAAUGAGUCAUGGCGGGGUUGUGCUACCCGCGACUUUUGAUAAAUUGAUGGAGUAGUUGUUCUUUAUGGUAUUAUUAGUUGCUUUCUUUUGUGUACCCUCCGGUGGUAUAGGACGCCGUGAUGAGUUCUUUGUUUUGCUCUCUUUCGUGUACUUCCCGGCGGUAUGGGACGUCGUGGUAAGUUCUUGUAUGUAUGUUCUAAAGAUUGUUGAUGAUGAUUAUGGCAAGUAGAUGUUUUGCUAUUGUGUAUAUGGUUGUAUGCUUUCGAAAUAAUACUCAGUUGUUAUGGUGAUUAUGGAGUAUAUUGAAAUAGUAUGUCAUGUUAUUGCUUUAAUAGUAUAGAUGUUGUUACAGUGGUAUCAAAGUAGAUNNNNNNNNNNNNNNNNNNNNNNNNNNNNNNNNNNNNNNNNNNNNNNNNNNNNNNNNNNNNNNNNNNNNNNNNNNNNNNNNNNNNNNNNNNNNNNNNNNNNNNNNNNNNNNNNNNNNNNNNNNNNNNNNNNNNNNNNNNNNNNNNNNNNNNNNNNNNNNNNNNNNNNNNNNNNNNNNNNNUGUCUUGUUAAGUAUAGAAGCUCUUGUAUUAAUACUAUCAGGUCGUGGGAUUUGUGUUUGAAUAUCUAUUGUCCUUAGUUGUGAAAUGUUGUUGUUAUAUGUUGUGUUCACAUAUAGGGUCUAAGUUGGACGUUCUUACCAAGGUAACCCAUUGCAAUAGCUCCGGAUUAUGGUAUCGGCUUACCUAACGGUGGGAUGUGGUAGGUGCCAUCAUGACUCAGAAAUCGGGUCGUGAUAAAUUGGUAUUAGAGCCUAGGUUUCACUGAUAUUAUUGAUACAAGAGCAAGUGUCUAAUAGAGUCCUGCAGAUUGGAACGUUGACUUCCAUUUUCUAUCUUUGGGAGGCUAUGUGACAUUCUUAGGAAUCCUUCAUUUUUCAUUCAUAGCGUGCUAAGAGUUUGAGUUGGUUUGUAGUGUCUUUUCAAUAACUCAAAAUUCGUCAUAGGGGGUGACUUGGGAACUUAGUUAUCAUCUUGUAUCACGAUUAUCUUCAAGAUCAAGGUAAGAAUUUCUUGAAUUCAUGCUUGAAUUUCUUCGUUUGGUCCCAAAAUCCCAAUUUAACUUGGGGCUUGAUUUUAGCCCAAGGUAUGCUUAGUUUUUACCCAUUAUUUGAGAAUUAUGAUUCCUUGUUCACAUGUGAACAUUGGGUUGGCUUCGGAAACUCGUUUUCCAUAUGUGGGAUCCACUUGGGGUUUUGGUAUCAUUUUUGGACUCGGAGCACAAUAGUGCAAUAUAGGUAUCAUUAGACUCGUAUUAAUGGGUAGAUUGUUAUUUUGAUAGUGUGAUGAUAUUUUUAGGAUUAUAAAGUGAAGAUGAGCAUGUGGUGAAUAAAGUGAGGUUUUGCGGUUUGGCCUUGAGGUAGGCUUCUGUCUACUUUUCUGCAUAGAUGAUGUGUGAUAUAUGUUGCGUGUGAAUAUGGAUGUUACGAUUAAUUAUGAGUAAGAUAGCUUAGCCUUGAUUAUUGAUGUUUUGGGAAGUUAGAUGAGGGUCUUGGACCCGCAAGAUAGUAUGCUUAUAACCUUGUAGACUCAUAUUGCCUUUUCCCUAGUUUAGAUUAAAUUGUAGCAUGUAUUUGAUACAUUGCUAGAUUAUAGAUGUGGUUUUAGUGUUGGUCCAACAUGAUUUGAAUAUUUGAUCUUAUUGGGCUAGUGUGGUAGUCUUGAAACCGUAAGUUGGGUAGAGUUAACUUGAGUGCCCUUAUUUCUAGUCAAAGUUGCUAUCUUAGGCUUGAAUAUGGUUUACUUGAUAUCUAGAAGAUGAACUAGAUACCUUAACCUAGUUUGGGGUAUAGUAUGCCAAAUUAUGAAAAUUAUGGAUUAGAAGUAGGAUCGUUCGGUCCACUUAGGUCUAAGAUUAUCUUAAGUCCUGUGGACUUAGUUGUGGAUGUUAGACAUAGAUGAGGCUAGUAAACCUUAGAAUAAGGUUACUUGGUAACUAGUAUUGAUGUUCCUGAAUUGUGGCUUUUGAUUUAUGGUUAUGAUACUCCUUGUAGAAGAGAUUGGACUAUAGAGAUGUUAUUUCCUCUUGGACUUAAUGAUUGUCCUAUAGAGUUGUUAUUUCCUCUUAGACUUGAUGAUUGGCCUACAUAGAUGUUAUCUCUUCUUAGACUUGAUAAUUCGCCGAUAGAGUUGCUAUUUCCUUAGUCAUGAUUGUUGGUCCUAUAAAGACUAUGUUCCUUUUGAAUAUGUAAAUUGGCUUAGAGAAGUGAUAUUCCUCAUUGUCAUGAUGUAUGAGCUAUUGAUAUAUGAUAUCCCGUAGACAAUUACAUGUCUAUCUGUAUUAUGCCUCCUAUAUGUAAGAUGUCUCCUAUAUAUGAGAUGUUUAGGGAUAUGCUACGACUUAUAAAUAUGAUUAUUGAUAUGAGUUCUGGAUAUGUGUAUGGGCAUAAAGCCAUGAUUAUGAUGUUGUGAUUAUUUUGGAUAGAUUAAUGAGCCAGGGGACAUGUUAUGAUAUUGAUUAUAUAGUCCAGAAGUGUUUAUCAUUAUAAACAAUGUGAUUACAGUUUAUGAAUAUAAAUAUAUAUGUGUGUAUACUCAUCUCUCUGGUAUGGGACGGAGGAAGAUGCAACAUGAUUUUUUUUUAUUCCACUGAUUGAAUAUGUAACACCUCGAUAAUUCUUAAUAUUUAUUUUAAUAUUUUACGUGAGUAUAACUCUUAAUCUAUGAAGCCUUGCGUGACAGAAUACUGAUAAUGGCAUGCAUAGAUUUGGCACAUUCGUGAUUAUUUACCAUUAUAACUGAUGUGAUUAUAGCUGAAAUGUGAUCUUCUGACUGCUCUUCUUGUUAGAUGGUUAAGCUAUGCGGUAACUAGUUGUCUAUUAGGGGAUUAUAGCACUUGAUGGUUAGGAAUCCAAUGUAUUAGUUAAUGAAUCUUGCUUAGUUCAAACAUAGUAACUAACGAUGGUUAGCUAAGAAAUAAUGACUGUUGAUAAAGAUGGUUGGGUGACAAGUAGUAAUGUGUUGUCUAGUAAUGAUUAACGGAUAUAGGAUGAGUAAUUGAUAAUAAUGAAUGGUGGAUAAAUGACGGUUUUGGUCUAAUGAUGAAUCUUGACUAGAUAUUAGAUGUUGACUGUUAAAUAAAUAGUGGUUAGUUGUUAUCCCGUGAAUUAAGGAUUAUGUGAAGGAUAAGAUUUGGGAUAAUAACUAGAGGUUAUGUGAUGACUAGCGAACUAGUGAUUCUAUUAUAAUAAGUGUUGUUUAACUAUUAACGAGUGAUUGGGAAGUAUUGACUAGAUAGAUAUUCUAUGGUGAUAUGAUUAUGUUUAUGAGUAUUUUAGCGUAUGUUAUUCGGUAAUGACUAUUGUAAUGCUCAUACUCGGCAAGGCCAGAGGAUAUAUGGAUGAUGCAUUGAUACCGGCAAGGCCGGUGAUUGAUUACGAUGAUGAUGGUCCUGAUGUGGACAAUUAUGAUGAGUUGUGAUAUUAAUCGUCUACCUUGCAUUCAUUCCUUCAUGCGCGUCGCCUAUCACCAAUAUGUGCCUAAUUCUAUCAGCCGGUAUGGGAUGGUUGCAUUGAUACAGGUAAAGAAUAUGCCUUAUGUUGUUGUGUGUUGAUUGAACCUUUCGAGUCUGGGGCGGUGAGGGUACGCAUAGGCUUGACUAGGUAUUUGGUUGUCCGGAGUAGCUGGUUAUUCAUGUUGUUAUUGAUAUUGUUGUUAUCAUUGUUAUGAUCAUUAUUAUGGCUACCUUAUGACAAAUUGGUCAUUGAUCCAGUAUUAAAAUUUAAGGUGCGUUUUCGGCCUCUCCUAUUUUAUGAUUGCAUUAUUAUGUAAGAUUAUUUCACGUCUAGCUAUGUGGAUUAGAAACCCUGAGUAUGAUAGUAUUUAAAUUCUGAUAAUCGUUAUAAUGAGGUCUUAAAUGAGAAUAUAAUGAUAGAGGUUAUGCUUUGAGACGACCUCAUGUUUAUAUGUAUAUAUUUAUAUAUAUAUCUAGCUAUAUGAAGAUAUAGCACUACCGUAUAUCCCUUCCUUCGUUGUUCAUUUUGUAUAGUCAUUACUUCGCCUUGUGUAUUAUUAUAUAUCUUUCUUUUGCUCCUUAUUCGUAUAUGUACCUGGGAUAUAUGGUAUAAUAUUGACGUAUAUUGAAUGUAGCUUGAAUAAGAUAGUUCACCGUCAUACUUCCUUAGUCUUAUUAUGUUAGACUCUUGGACAUGAUCAUGAUAGUUUUCCCUUAUUAUUCUCAUUAACUCAUUAUAUAAUUUCUGGACUCUUGGGUGUAGUUUUCAUUCUAUUUAUAUGUUGUGUAUAUCUGUUUUGUCCCUUUUGAGAUUCUCCAUGUAGUCAGCAAGGUGGCCUAUGAGUUAACUUUACCUCCAUACUUUGCUGCUGUUCACCCAGUUUUUCAUGUCUCCAUGCUGCAGAAGUAUAUUUCUAACCCGUCACAAGUGCUUAGGUGGGACUCAGUCUAGUUAGAUGGGCAGUUAACCUUUGUAGAGGAGCCCGCACUUAUUUUUGCUAGUGAUGUGAGGAGGUUGCAUACUAGAGAGAUUCCUGUAGUUAAGGUUCAAUGGAAGUACCACCUAGUGAAGGAGGCCACUUAGUGGUUAGCGGGUGAGAUGUGAGCCUAGUAUCCUCAACUAUUCGAGAAUUCAAGUAUUUCCUCACCUUUAACUUUCGAGGACGAAAGUUCCUUAGUAGUGGAUGUUGUAAUGACCUUUCAGGUCAUUAGCCGUAUUCUUGCUUAUUUUGCUGAUAGAGCUCCUCCAUAGCUAUCCCAAGUCAUUAGUGACUUGCUAGAAUUGAUAGUUCAGUUACUUGACAGUUCGUUUAGUUUUUAGAACCACUUUUAUAAAUGGAAGUCUUCGUCGAUUCCAAACGGCCGCCAAACAAAAUUUCAGUAAAAUAAUUUUGCAUGCAAAGCUCGACUGUGCCAACAUCUAUGUAAGAUCAAUUUUAGGAUAGAUAGACCCUUGGUUCGGAUCCCAUAGCACCCGAGCUCAUUUCAACCAAUUAGUCGAAAAGUCAAAUAUCAAAAUAUAGGGGUGUGGGACCCAUAAGUAGUCUAAAUGACCUCGUAUGAAAAAUUUGACUUCACCAAUGCAUCCAGAAUGUCGAAUUUAGUGGGGUUACAUACUUCGUUUGCAAAAAACGGAGUCCGACUAAGUUCGGAAGGUCAAAAAUAAAUUUUGACCUUGCGGGCCCAUCUAAAACUGUAUAAAAAGGGGCUUUUGACAGAUUUUGAGCAUUCCUAACUUCUAUUAAAGCCCUAGUAGCCCUAAAAGAGUGGUGACUUAAAAAUUGGUCUUGUGGGUUGAUUGGAAACUUAAACAACUUGUGUAAUCCAUCUUUUUACUACAAAUCCAAGGUAAGAAUUCCUCUAAUUUGAUAUUAAGUUCAUUAUUUCUUGACUCAAAGUCCUAAAUCAUUGUGGGUCAAUUGUAUCCCCAAAAAUUGAGUGUUUGACUCAAAUUUCUUGAGGGUUUUUAACUCCCUAAAGAUAAUUAGUCUAUGGUUGGUCUUGGAAACUCCUUUCCAAGGGUAAAACCUAAUUGGGGUUUUGGUGUAUAUUUGAAACCCAUGGCACAAUGAUGCUAUAAUGGGUAUUUUUAUUCUUAUUGUAAUGCUUACAUUAUAUUGUUGAUAGCAUUGCUUGUGGAGGAGGAAGCUUUUCGGAAAGAAAAGGAAAGCUCGUUGGUUCGUGAGUUGCUUGGAUUCAAGGUAGGUUAGGUUUACCCGUUGUAUAGAUUGAGCUUGUUUGUAAUGUAAUCAUUGAUAUCUUACGAGAUUGGGCGGGGAAUUCAGACGAUAGUUGAUUAAAUGGUAAACUUGGGAUUUAUUAAUUCCUAUAGGCCAUGAAUUUGUAAGGUAUGAUAUUUAACCCUUAGCCUAGGACCUUGGUUAGCUUAAUUGUGGUCUCAUGAGUAGUGUGUGAACAUUAUAGUUGUCUAAGUAGACAUGAAUGGUAUACUUCUCUAUCCUUAGGAGUGUAUUGACCUAUAUAAAAUGCCUAGAUAGGAUAUGACCUUGGUGUUGGGUUGUCUUAGGAAGAAUACUUGAAGAAGAUUUCUCCUAUAUGCUUAGUAAGGAUUGAUAAGCCCUUAUGUUGUGACUUAGAUAACCUAGCCUAAAUCCGGGUAGAAGUUUGUCUUGUAGAAGUGACUUUACUAUUAGUGGGAGUUAGAAGUGGGACUUGACCCACCCUAAGCUUGAACUAUGUAACUCCUUGGUAACCUAGAUACUUGAUGAGCGUCUAAAUUAUGUUUUUGAGAUUAUAAGGGUUAAACCCGGUUGUCGGUUUAUGAAUAAGGUCGAUGGUUGAAAAAUGUGUAUUCUUGAUUGUUGUCUUAUUACCGUGUUAUGGAUAGACAAGGAAAUAUGGUAAUUGUGUAUGUCAUCUAGAUACUCAUGCCUAUGCUUCUACUCACAUGUCAUGAUGCUGACUAGUAAUACAAUGUGAUGGUUUAUGCAUCUUACAUCUCUAUUACUCGAUUAUUGUGAACUUGUGUAUGUUUAUUGAUUUGAGGCCAUUUAUGUGUGUAUGUUGUUGUCUUGAAAAAUAUUGAUACAAUGAUGAUGCCCGGUAAAUUCGAAGGAAUUAUUGAUACCAUGAUGGUGCCCGGUUAAUCCGAAGGAAUAUGUGAUAUUAUGAUGAUGCCCGGUUCAAGCCCAGAGAAAUAUGUGAUAUUAUGAUGAGGCUCGGUUCGAGUCCGGAGGAAUGUGUGAUAUUAUGAUGAUGCCCGGUUCGAGUUUUGAGGAAUGUGUGAUAUUAUGAUGAUGGCCGGUUCGAGUCCGAAGGAAUGUGUGAUAUUAUUGAUUUGAGGCCAUUUAUGUGUGUAUGUUGUUGUCUUGAAAAUAUUGAUACAAUGAUGAUGCCCGGUAAAUCCAGAGGAAUUAUUGAUACUAUGAUGGUGCCCGGUUAAUCCGAAGGAAUAUGUGAUAUUAUGAUGAUGCCCGGUUCAAGUUCGGAGAAAUAUGUGAUAUUAUGAUGAUGCUCGGUUCGAGUUCGGAGGAAUGUGUGAUAUUAUGAUGAUGCCGGUUCAAGUCCGGAGGAAUGUGUGAUAUUAUGAUGAUGCCGGUUCAAGUCCGGAGGAAUGUGUGAUAUUAUGAUGAUGCCGGUUCAAGUCCGGAGGAAUGUGUGAUAUUAUGAUGAUGCCCGGUUCGUGUUUUGAGGAAUGUGUGAUAUUAUGAUGAUGGCCGGUUCGAGUCCGAAGGAAUGUGUGAUAUUAUGAUGAUGCCCGGUUCGAGUCCGGAGGAAUGUGUGGUAUUAUGAUGAUGGCCGGUUCAAAUCCGGAGGAAUGUGUGAUAUUAUGAUGAUGCUCAUGAAUUCGGUGGAAUAUGCUAAUAUUGUGAUGAUGUUCGGUGAAUCCGGAAGAGGUAAGAACAUUUUGAUGCCAUGUGGGGCAAAUUUCUUAUAUGCAUAGAUAUUUGUAAGGUUAGGCCAUGUGGGGCCAACCGCCUAUGUGCUAGAAUUAUGAGGUCUCUAUUGAUAAAUUAUUAAUUGUUUCUUGUUCCAAAUCACUAUAUAAGAGGUGUGACCCUUUUUGAUGCUAAACUAGCUACUAGAGGAAAUUUAUGCCUAAUAUUGAGUUAAGGCUUAGUGUUAUAUAUAAAUUUGCAUAAAAAUUCAAGGGCUAACCUAAUAUAUAUACUCGACUUGAAUAAGAGGUUAUAUUAUAAAAUAUUGCCUAGUAAGGUGGCUUAUGUUAUAAUUAGCUACUUCUAAAAUAUAUGAUUAUUAUUUGGAACCUAGAAGCCUAGUAAACUAGUUGGUGGACUUUACUCGAUUAAAAUAUGGAAAUUAGUCCUUAAGGUUGUGACAUGCUUGGUGAUGAUAGAUCUAGUAUUGCGUGAUGGAUAGUCAAAUUAUCUCCUAAUAUGUGAAGUUGAGAUGCCUUAAUUGAUAACUCAUGUCAUGAUGAUGCUAAUUAAAGAAUGGCCGUAUGAUAGUUGAAUAACCUAUACUAUGGGUGGCUUGUAGUUUUUUUCCCCAGUUUGAUGACUAG